RNAcentral lists this long non-coding RNA (487 nucleotides) under Daphnia magna. RNAcentral describes it as "uncharacterized LOC123477500". The record is from RNAcentral. Lineage: Eukaryota; Metazoa; Arthropoda; Branchiopoda; Diplostraca; Daphniidae.
UUCGUUACAUUUGAUCUGUAAGAAUUCAAUUUUGAAUAAUUUUCAUUUCAAAUUGAUUCACACACAUAGCAGACGCCAACACAUCAAGCGUCAUCAAUACCGUGGUCUAUGGUGCAAUGCUAUCGCUGGAGUAAGUUGUUUACCUUCAAUUCGGGUAGCGUCAUGAUUGGACUACCCUGAUGGCGUCAUGAUCGCUGCUGAUUGCCUUUCAAAUAGGUUUUCAGCAUUCUGCUUACACCUUUGGCAUAGAGUCACAUAUUUCACAAUCCAACAUCAAUUGGUAGCAACAGCAGCCCUUCUCUCCAUCAUCCAGAAGGGUCUGAGAUCAGUGUUGGAGAUGAUGGUUCGGAACAACCCAUGGAAAGCUUAUCACUCAUUGAUGCUGUGAUGCCUGAUGUUGUUGCAAGUCGUCAACAGCAAACACAGAACAAUCAGAAACCACAAGUGGUAAAGACAGAACCACCAAAUUCCAAUGGAGAUGAACCCA